This 465-nucleotide ribosomal RNA is filed under the name uncultured bacterium. Its description in RNAcentral is "partial 16S ribosomal RNA". It matches the Rfam family "Bacterial small subunit ribosomal RNA", at positions 28 to 507 of the family's 1533-position model. The record is from RNAcentral.
GACGAACGCUGGCGGCGUGCUUAACACAUGCAAGUCGUACGGUAAGGCCCUUUCGGGGGUACACGAGUGGCGAACGGGUGCGUAACACGUGAGUAACCUGCCCACAACUUUGGGAUAACGCUAGGAAACUGGUGCUAAUACUGGAUAUGUGCUCCUGCUGCAUGGUGGGGGUUGGAAAGCUCCGGCGGUUGUGGAUGGACUCGCGGCCUAUCAGCUUGUUGGUGGGGUAGUGGCCUACCAAGGCGGCGACGGGUAGCCGGCCUGAGAGGGUGACCGGCCACAUUGGGACUGAGAUACGGCCCAGACUCCUACGGGAGGCAGCAGUGGGGAAUAUUGCACAAUGGGCGCAAGCCGGAUGCAGCAACGCCGCGGGCGGGAUGGCGGCCUUCGGGUUGUAAACCGCUUUCAGCAGGGACGAAGCUUUUUGUGACGGUACCUGCAGAAGAAGCACCGGCUAACUACGUG